This 251-nucleotide ribosomal RNA is filed under the name uncultured bacterium. RNAcentral describes it as "partial small subunit ribosomal RNA". It matches the Rfam family "Bacterial small subunit ribosomal RNA", at positions 26 to 288 of the family's 1533-position model. The record is from RNAcentral.
AGGACGAACGCUGGCGGCGUGCUUAACACAUGCAAGUCACGGGGGCCCGCAAGGGUAACCGGCGAACGGGUGCGUAACACGUGAACAACCUGCCCUCGUGUGGGGGAUAGCCAUGCUAACGCGUGGGUAAUACCGCAUACGGUCCUUUGGGGGAGUCCCUGGGGGAAGAAAGCUCCGGCGCACGGGGAGGGGUUCGCGGCCUAUCAGCUAGUUGGGGGGGUAAUGGCCCACCAAGGCGACGACGGGUAGCU